UGGGGAAUAUUGGACAAUGGGCGCAAGCCUGAUCCAGCCAUGCCGCGUGAGUGAAGAAGGCCUUCGGGUUGUAAAGCUCUUUUGUCCGGAAAGAAAAGCCAUGGGCGAAUACCCUGUGGUUCUGACGGUACCGGAAGAAUAAGCACCGGCUAACUUCGUGCCAGCAGCCGCGGUAAUACGAAGGGUGCAAGCGUUACUCGGAAUUACUGGGCGUAAAGCGUGCGUAGGUGGUUCGUUAAGUCUGAUGUGAAAGCCCUGGGCUCAACCUGGGAACUGCAUUGGAUACUGGCGAUCUGGAGUGCGGUAGAGGGUGGCGGAAUUCCCGGUGUAGCAGUGAAAUGCGUAGAUAUCGGGAGGAACAUCCGUGGCGAAGGCGGCCACCUGGACCAGCACUGACACUGAGGCACGAAAGCGUGGGGAGCAAACAGG
This 429-nucleotide ribosomal RNA is filed under the name uncultured Lysobacter sp. RNAcentral describes it as "bacterial SSU rRNA". It matches the Rfam family "Bacterial small subunit ribosomal RNA", at positions 355 to 776 of the family's 1533-position model. Lineage: Bacteria; Pseudomonadati; Pseudomonadota; Gammaproteobacteria; Lysobacterales; Lysobacteraceae. The record is from RNAcentral.